This 297-nucleotide ribosomal RNA is filed under the name uncultured bacterium. RNAcentral describes it as "partial 16S ribosomal RNA". It matches the Rfam family "Bacterial small subunit ribosomal RNA", at positions 28 to 334 of the family's 1533-position model. The record is from RNAcentral.
GAUGAACGCUGGCGGCGUGCCUAAUACAUGCAAGUCGGACGGAGCGCUUCGGCGCUCAGUGGCGAACGGGUGAGUAGCACAUGGGCAACCUGCCCUUCAGAGGGGGACAACAGCUGGAAACGGCUGCUAAGACCGCAUGAGACCACAGCACCGCAUGGUGCAGGGGUAAAAACUCCGGUGGUAUGAGAUGGACCCGCGUCUGAUUAGGUAGUUGGUGGGGUAACGGCCUACCAAGCCGACGAUCAGUAGCCGACCUGAGAGGGUGACCGGCCACAUUGGGACUGAGACACGGCCCAA